GAUGACAAACUGUUGCAUUAGUAUAUUGAGGCAAAUAAGUUCAAAGGGGAAUAACUCCGAGAAAAAAAUGGAAUCAUAAUUCCCUGUCGAUAUGCACAUCUACAUAGUAUGUCCUUAUUAUCUACAAAGUUUCAUGAAAUUCUGUUGUGUGAUUUCAGAGGAGUUGAGAUGACAAACUGUUGCAGUAGUAUAUUGGUGCAAAUAAUUUCAAAGGGGCGUAACUCCUAGAAAAAAAAUUGAAUCAUAAUUUCCUGUCGAUAUGCACAUCUACAUAGUAUGUCCUUAAUAUCAAAAAAGAUUUUAUGAAAUUCUGUUGUGUGGUUUCAGAGGAGUUGCGAUGACAAACUGUUGCAGUAGUAUAUUGAGGCAAAUAAGUUUAAAGGGGCGUAACUUCUAGAAAAAAAAUUGUAUCGUAAUUUCCUGUCGAUAUGCACAUCUACAUAGCAUGUCCUUAUUAUCGACAAAGUUUCAUGAAAUU
RNAcentral lists this long non-coding RNA (478 nucleotides) under Mytilus galloprovincialis (Mediterranean mussel). Lineage: Eukaryota; Metazoa; Mollusca; Bivalvia; Mytilida; Mytilidae. The record is from RNAcentral.